GCUACCGCCUCCCGGUCCUAACGCGUCAUCAUCGCACGAGGCCGCCGCCGCCAAUCAGCGCCGCCCCCCCGCGCCUGCGCGCCACGCAACGGAAGGAAGGGCGGCCCGCGCACCUCGGGUUUUGAAGGGAGAGGCAUCGUUGCCACCCAACAAAGCGGCUCUACUGCCUGUAUUUACAGUUUCAUCAAUCAAAAUGCAUUUUGACAGCACAACAGAGAGGAGCAGCUGCAGUGCCUGCUCAGGGCUCCACCCUGCCUGGCAGAUGAAGCAUUUCCUGCCCCACGUUUCAGUAUUUCAUCUGUAAAAUGGUGCUAAUGAAUUUGAAAUAUUCUUGAGCUCCACUGGCAAAAAAAAUGCAUGGCAAAACUACGUGUCAUUUUCAUCUGUCAUUUCCUGUCCCUCUAACUCGAUGCGUACUCAGCUAGUGGAGAGGGAAAUUGAGACAGGAGCACUGUUUCAUUAAAUAUUAAAUAAAUGGAAUUAAAGUGG
Numida meleagris (helmeted guineafowl) is the source of this 489-nucleotide long non-coding RNA. RefSeq lists it as uncharacterized. NCBI's taxonomy places the organism in Eukaryota, Metazoa, Chordata, Aves, Galliformes, Numididae. The transcript is spliced from 2 exons. The record is from RefSeq and is a predicted model, not a curated record.